This 253-nucleotide ribosomal RNA is filed under the name uncultured bacterium. RNAcentral describes it as "partial 16S ribosomal RNA". It matches the Rfam family "Bacterial small subunit ribosomal RNA", at positions 524 to 776 of the family's 1533-position model. The record is from RNAcentral.
UACGAGGGGUGCAAGCGUUGCUCGGAAUUAUUGGGCGUAAAGGGUAGGUAGGUGGUCUUAUUUGUCUGGGGUGAAAGCCUUGGGCUUAACUCAAGAAGUGCCCCAGAAACGGUAAGACUCGAGUCCUGGAGAGGGUCGUGGAAUUCCCGGUGUAGCGGUGAAAUGCGUAGAGAUCGGGAGGAACACCAGAGGCGAAAGCGGCGACCUGGACAGGCACUGACACUGAGGCACGAAAGCGUGGGGAGCAAACAGG